This 8534-nucleotide long non-coding RNA is filed under the name Homo sapiens (human). RNAcentral's name for it is "HSALNT0337508". The record is from RNAcentral. Lineage: Eukaryota; Metazoa; Chordata; Mammalia; Primates; Hominidae.
AUUCUUCUGCCAUCUCUGCUGCUACCAAUGCCUGGACCACCACUGCUGCCCUGACAAAAGACAAGAGCCACUGAGAUUCUUCCUACUGAUGCCCCUGGCCCAUCUGUGUCUUGCUAUUCUUACUUUGUUAUUUACCUCUUAGAGUUUCACCUAGACUUUUACGGUCCUUGUAGGAAAAGGCAGUUUCAUAUCCUAUUGACUCAAUUUCUCAGUGUGACUAUUUGACAAGAAGCUAUGCCAUCUAAGGUGGGUAGGUUCUAUGUUGCUCUUAUUACAUUGCCUUAGGCGAAUUCUAAAUCAGGUUAUACAGGCUUUUGAAGGGUGGCCUUGCAUGCCAACCAGUAUUUAUGACACUGGUUUUAGAGGGAAACACAUUCCAAAUUUCAAAUAGUAAGCUUAAAAGUGAACUGUUAGAGUAUGAUUCAUUUUAAGUAGGAACUAUUCUGGGAGCCGGAAGAACAGGUGCUAGCACCUGUUACAAGUGAAUUCUUAUCGAAACCACAGGGAGACCCUUUGGGUAGCCAGCUUAGAGUCCCUUCUCUACUGGGAGUGUAACUUCUCACACUAAGCCCCAGGCUCAGAGGGCAGACAAGCUGGAUUAGCUAGGGUUUGCUUCUCUGAUGUGGAAAAAAAAAUAGAUAUCUGGUAAUUUCCUUGGAUUCCUUUUGGACAUGAUCUUGUGUACAAAUCUGUGCCAAAUGAACUUAAUCUGCCAAGAGAGGAAAAGAAAAAUACCUUAAUCUAUGGAUCUAGCUACCAACUGAAGGAAGUCAAUAAGAAAAUAACUGGAAUCUUAGCAGGUUCUAGAAAAAGUAAGAAAAGAGGUAUAUGUUGUACAAGUAUGCAAUUAAACUAAGAGAAGUUUGGAGUAAUUAAAAGAUAAGCACAAAAAUACCUCACUUUCUACAUCAAAUGACAAAUAUUUAUAUCAAAUUUUUCAAAGAUAGGAAUGUUUAUCAUUUUAGACUAGGAAAGAUACAACACAGAAGACUCUAAUACUCAGAGGGUUUUCCAGUUCUGAGUAUCUUAUGUAUUUUUCCCCUGUUACUCUAAAUUUGUCAAACUGCACAAAUUGAUUCAUUAGAUUGAGUGUUAAGUCUACCUAAACUAGAAUGUGAUAGUGAUGGGCCAGUGACUUCUUUGGAGAAAUCUCUAAAACAUCUAUGCUGAUGAGUUUUGAAACUGGGUUCAGGGUGUCCUGAGACAUCUGGGAGUUGUUGAAAUAAAGUAUAUCUGUGGUGGAUUUAAGAAUUACUCUAUAUUUCAGGUCAUGAUAGGAGGGAUACUUAGCUCCCAAGUUUUAAAGAAUUUAGAAGAGUGCUGCCUUUCUCAAAUAUUGUUAUGUAAUUGAUUAUUCAGCAUGCCUUUUGUUAUGGGGUCCACACAGUAACAAUCUAUUUUCAGUGUCUGACCUUCACUAGCCCCUGAGCUCCAUGAAGACAAGAAUCAUGGCUUAUGGGAAUGCACAAUUGUUUGUUGAAUAAAUAAUUGAAUAAAUGAGAGAAAAAAAGAGUUUAUUGUGAGCAUUUUAUUAAAAAAAGCGAAAUGCUACUUCUUGAUAGAAAGAUUAAAUAAAGUCAUUUCCCAAUAAUAAAGUUAAAACAAAAUUUAAAAUAAUAUAAUGGACUGAAGUUUUAAGUUUGGUGGGAAAUCUGUGGCUUUAAGAAGGAAGAAAUAGACUAUACUUUUUAAAGAUAGAAAGCAUGGCAUGCCCUCCAAAAUUAACCUAGUGGAACAUGGUGUGUAAAGUCUCCCAAACCCAUCAAUUUUAGCCUUACUUUAUAGUAAUAAACACUUUUUAUUGCCAAAGUAAAUUAGGACAAUGAUCUGGGUAAAAUAAUGCUCUUGAGCUGGAUAAGAAAGACUUUGAUUUUCUUGCCAAAUUUAAAGCAAUGACCUUCGUUCUAAGUGUGAAAGCAGCAUAUCAUUGUUGUAUAAAGACAUGAGUGAACCCCACUGAAACUCUUCCACCGUGAGGUUCUGUCAUACCAGCUCAAAUAGUGAGUAAUCAGGAAUGGUUCAAUACAUUAAACAUUCUUUUGGCAUGGUGAUCCUUUUGUCAGGUCAGAAUCAUUAUGACUAGAACUGAAAAUUGAGUGCCAGUCAUGGCAGGAUAUUUAGAUUUCUUCAACCCAUGUAUCUUUUUACAUUGCCACUAUGUCUAUUUUCAAGAGGGAUGGUUCAGACUCAGGCUUAAAGGAUUAAAAAACUCUCUCCAGCACUUACAGUGAGGCUGUAGACAAGUUCCUGAGCCUUUCGGGGCCUCAAGUCCUUUGUAAGCUAGGGUAAUAAUUGUACCUGCCUCAUAAAAGAUUAAAUGGGAAAAUACUCAGUAAAUGUUGCUUUCUUUUAUUUUUCUCUGUGAUGAUUGUUUCAAACUCCAUUACCGUUUCUAGAUCUUUCAUUUCCUUAAGGUUUUCAGUAGUCAGCCCAAACUUUUAACAUUCCUCUUUGUGGAAAUCAUAGCAGCCUAAAGAGUCUAGUUUGCCAAAACUAUUUGCUACAUCUUAUAGAGAAAUUAAAUCAUGCUUGGGGUGUACCUGUGUGUCUGUAUAUAAAAGAGCCUCAACCCUGAGUCUUACCACAGUGAAAGCAGGUGGACCCCACUCUUGGCUAUGAGCCAAAUCCUAUUACUAGGCCUUAUUGAUUCCAGGCUGGCUACAGUUGCUUCCUCUUGUUGUUGCUUUUCCUUCUCACCUCUUAAGGGAGUUGGAAAACUCUAAAUUCAACUUAUGAAAGAAUAUGAAAGUGCUUCUAUUAUUUGUAUAUUUCCCAGAAACUAACCAUCUAGAAGUCAUUUCCUAAGUUAUAAAGAAACACUUUUUUUCCUGAAUUUUUCAUCACAUGAAUAAAACUGGGUUUUCCAUUAUGAUCAUACAACACAAACCACCAGACUGUAAAACUAACAUUUUUCAGUUGGGUUUCUUGCUUACUAUUUUCAAAGUGACUGUUUUCUUGUCCUGCGACAGUGUUCAGGGUGAGAACCACGGUUUUUUUUUCCUUAGUUUGUUUUUGAUGUGUUGUUUUGCAAAACGCUGUGAAAUAAGUGAGGACAUAAGAUGAUUACUGAACUAUUUCUGUUGAGCAAGUGGGUAAACCUCUCCUGGUAGAAGAAUCAGAACCUCAUCAGCCCAAGAGGCUGAGUCAUCUUUGUGACUGAGAGGUUCAUGCUUCACCUUAAGUCCUUGGUACCUAAAAUGGGACUGUAUGAUGUGCCCUGUGAAAUCAAUAAAACUGUCAGGUUAUAAUUAACGUGUGGUGCUACUCUAAUUAAACAGAAUUGAUGGGAAAUAUCUGGGAGUCUAGUAGCAAUGGAACAAUGAUGUUUGCAUUUAAAUGAUCUUAAGUACUCCUUAGACUUAAUGCCCUAUUAAGGGGACCGGGAGAAUGUCACAUCUCACUUAGCUGUAUUGUGUUAGACAGUGGCCGCUGGCCGGGAAGGACCAGAGUGCAUUAAGCUUGCGUUGUGGUGUCUGCCUUUGCAGACAGAAGAUUUGGGAAUGUAUAUUCUUUUCUUUUUUCUUUUUUUUUUUCUUCAAAGGAAAUUAAAUCACAGCCCUGACAGGAGAGGGUAAAAUCUCUGAGAAGACCUCCCCAGUGCUUGGAAUUUACAGACUCUACCACGUCCCAGUUUGCUAUUGUCCUAAGGCAACACACUCCCCUGCCGCUCUCAGGCGUCUUUGGCGGCUGGCCAGCCUCCCAGGGCCUCUGGCUUUGAUGUGUGGUGCAGGCUGUCCUCAGGCCAGGCUGUUGUUGCCGUGGCCUGGACUUCGCUCACACUGGAUGCCAGGAGGGAUGUCCUGUCUGCAAUAUACAUUUCGACAGCCUGACAGUCCUAGUGAUCGUCCUGCGGCAGGGGGAGCCUGCCUUUGUCUCAGCCACAAGUGGCUGUCCCCAGUCGCUUAGCUUUGCUGUGCUCUCUUUUGGUGUCUGCGGAAGACGAGUUUGCACCCAGCUUGUUGUCCGGGGGAGGGCCUCUCUGCCUGGGGAAGACAGCAGCUCUGCCAGGGCGCUGUCAAUCUGAGGAGCCUCCUUGGCAGGGCUCUGGGGAACCGACCCGGCGAGUUGAACAGCUUCCUCUGGGGACAUUGCAUCGACCUUCAUUUGAUUUAAGCCUGGCAGCCUGGUUAGUGAGGACAUCAAUUCUGGCUCGGGAAAUCUUCCUUAACUGAACCUUUGUUUCCACCAUGGUCCCAGGCUUGUAGUUAGAAGUCUGUGCUGUUGCAAAUUUAACUCUGUAACUUCUGGUAAUAUCCAUGUGUAAUUCUAAAAGCAGGUGACACAGAAACACAGAUGAUUAUAGUGAUAGGUACCAAGGAGAAAAAAAUGGGACUACGCCUAAUAAUUAGUCAAAAGACAUACGUAUAUAUACACACACACACUUUGAAGAGAGAAAGAGAGAGAGGGAGGGAGAGAGAACUUAUUGUUGAUUAAUUGUUUUCAGAAGAGCCACUUCAAUUCCAAUAAGAAUCACCUCAGAGAACUGAAAGUAAACCAUAUCUGCUUCUAGUGUCUAUGACACACCUUGCACUGUGCCUUAAUAGGAUUACUAAUAUUUCCCACAGAGGAGGAAGUCUUGCUUCUAUUCUUGCAAAACCCCUCCCCCAAAUCUGUCUCUUCACCAACAGUUAUUUGUUUGUAUUAAGUUUCAUGAUGUCCCAAGAUUUUUGUUUGUUUUUGCUGUUUUCUUAAUGUAAAUGUUUUCAUAAUGAGAACACGUUACAUUUUUGACAACCUAGCAUGAAAAAUCUUACCAGCUCUUUUCUGCAGUAGAUGCAGCGUGCAGCCUGCAAAGACCCCAUGUCCAGGUUAGGCCAGGUCACCUGAACAGGACCAGGAUAGAAAGGGGAAGAGAUUUGUAGAAGACACACUUCGUGGUCUCACUAGGGUGUGCCUGUUUGCAUUUUGUUUAUUGUUUUUGCAACCAUUCAUAUGUGUUUAUUGUUUUUGUAACCAUUCAUAAGUAGCAGUAAUUUAGCAUUCUCAUAUUAAUAUUUUUUUUCUUGUCACUAAAAAGAAAAUAUCGAUGAACAUUUGAAAAAAGAAAAUGAAGAGUAGUUUCUAGCUCUACCAUGGAUUUGAACAUACUACGAAACAACAGUAAUUAAAACUAACACACACACACACAAAGUUCAUGUGAUUAUGCACAUGAAAACGACCUAACACAAUGCCAGUCACAUCAUACUGGCAGUCUGAACAAAAGUUCCAUUUUAAAUAUGUGGAUUGAUGUAACUAAAGGCUGAUAAGCAAGUUUAACAUAGUUGCUGUUCAGUAAACUCUUGCUAGCCAUGAUUGAAUUUUUGCCUAUGAGAGGCACAGUGGCUCUACGAUGCAAAGGGGAAAACAGUAGAAUAGUAUUCAGGAAAACUGCUUCUAGUUGCAUGACCUUUUGCAAGUGACCUUCUGGGCUUCAGUUUCAUUGUCAAUGAAAGGAGAGUGUUUGAUGACUAUUAAAAGAGUUAUUUAGGUCUAUAGAGACAUUAUGAUACACAGGCUUACUCGAGAGUGUGGUUGCUACUCUAGAGGGCUCCUCAAAAAGCUCAUUUACUGUGAUCAGUAUUGCAACAGUAUGAUCAAUUCAACUGCUCCCAGGGAGUGUCCUGGUGAACUCAGGGAGCAUGGUUCCUGUGUACUACUCCCGGUAGACCACUCAGCUAGAGAAAGUCACUCAAGCCCAGCAUUGUGUGUACAUCUGAUUUAUUACAUGCGAAUAACUGAAACAAACCAAUUGGUGACAAGCAUGAUCAAAUAUUAGCUAAUGAUAAAUUGCUCCAUUGUUUAGACCAUGUAACAUAUAACUGAAAUACAAAGGUCAGAUGUCCUUAGAUUUUCUGAUAGAGCCAAAAAACACUAAGAGUCCCUCCCCCAACCCCCAACCCCUGCCCAGGUUGGUACUCUAUGGGAACACUGAAAAAUUCCUAAGUAGAUUGAAGUCACUGACCACUUAGACAACCAGUUAGAAAUGAGAGCAUAGUUGCUGCAAUACAGGUGAAAAACCUUUUAACAUAUUGCUUAAUGACUGGUUGUCUUAGGAAAUGGAAGACCUCUUACGAGGCAAGAAUUACAUAAUUUUAGAAAACAAUACCCUACCUAAGAAAUGAAGAGGGACUGAAAAAGACUUUUGCAAAUCAUGAUUUCUGUAAUAAGAAUAGAAAUCUUAAGGAAGGACUUGAUGGAUUCAGCUUCCUUGUUGCACUGUGCUGCUGUGGAAAGCUCCUGAGGUUGAGAACACAUUAGUUACCAGGAGGAGUUUAGGCUUUUAGCAAAUUAUUGGUGCUGCCAAGACAGAAUUUAGUGGGAACAGGACUUUGGCUACUGUUAAAAUGUCAGUAUAGUAAAGCCUGCUCUGUCAAACAGAUUUUUGGCAUCAGAAAUUUAUAUGAUACUGAUUUUAGGGCUUGGUCACAAGAUUUGAAUUUCUGAAAUUCUAAAUGUUAUUCAUGAUUCUAAAAUUGUACAGCUUGUUACUUAAUUUUCCUCCAAAUAAACUGGAGCUAUUUUAAAACCUGAUGACUGAUAACGAACAAGAGAGGAAAGUGUCUAAUCAUCUGGGAAGACAGCUUCUAAACUAAACCCACUAAUAGUGUCUGCUUUACCUGUGAACAUCUUAAGACAAGAUGAUGUCAGGUGGUUUUUUAGCGAUAGCGUUGUAGUUUAUGUAGUGCCAACAACUGCCCUAAGCUUUGUCUAAAAUAAUCUCCCUUUGUCUAAAAUAAUCUCCACUGCCUAAGAACUUGAUAUGCUAGUGUAGCUUUUGAGCAUCCACUAUAAUAAAUGUUAGAAGAUGAAAUUAAUAAUCUGAACCACUAACUUAAAUGUCUUUAUUUGCAACAUUUAAUUUUCCAUCUACUCCCAAGUUUGGCUUUUACAGUUAUUUCCAAAGUAUCCUAAGUGUUAAGUGACAUUUAAAUUGGUGGUACCUAAUUUAAAUUAUGUUCAAGCGACUGUUUUAUCAGUGCCUCCUGAGAAUGGACAUGGCCUGGACAUUGAGUGCAGAUGGCCUCCUUGUGUAUUGCACUGUGAGUUCUGGACUCCUCUGGUUGAGUCAGCUCAUUGGGGUCACUGUGCUUUGUAACAAUUGUUUUGCAUUAAAUAAGGAUGCUGCUUAGUUCAUAAGGCUCUAUGAGGAUUAAAUACCUGGCAGGUACUAGGAGUUCACAGUAGUGGUUAUGAUGAUGGUGAUUAAUAGGGGUAAUAGUCAUUGCAGUCACUGGUUAAAUGUAACCAGAAUUAUAUUUCAUCUAUCACGUGACUGAUUCUUUAGCCUGUCAACAUGGUCUUUACUCAAAGAGCUAGGUAUAUUUUCUCAAUUAAAUCAAAUACUUCUUUUGGUAAGGAAGGACUUCAUAUGGAAUCGUUUGCAGUAUAGGAUGGCUGUGUGAAGGAGCCUCUCAUUUUUCACUCUCCAUGCAAAACCUACACAGUGAAUCUUAGUGACUGAUCAUAUGCCUUGUUUCUAUGAUGGCAUGAAUUAAUAUUUGUGUAAUGACUUACUCUCUGUCUGCAAAUGGCUUCCAUGUACAUUAUCUCAUUUGAGGCAAUAGCUAUUAUGUAGUUAUUACUCACACUUUAUUUUGUGUAUAAGGGACCGGAGGCUUCAUGGUGGGGGGGUUGGUUUUAGUUGAGUAAUUUGCUUAAAGUCACAGCACUAGUGAGUCAUAGAACCAGAAUCCAACUCUGUUUCUCCCAUUUUUGGCUAACAUGUCAGUCACUACCAAGUCACCAGUCUAGUUAACUGGCAGUGUUCAAAUGUUGGAGCGUUGUGGAUGUGGCCACUAUGUUCUUUUUAUUAUGACUGACAUAAAGAAAUAGAAGCCAGCCGUAUCAAAAUCUGGGGGCAGAGUCAAAUCUUAUACUUUUAGGGAAUCUUGAGGUAGUCCAAGGAAUAAAAUGCUGUAGAAAGAUGUGGACUGUAAAUUUUCCAGACCUCUGUCAGUUAUCACCUUCUGGAAACUGAAACCUGAUGAUACCAAUUGUUAAGUUUACCCAAUCACUUCCCUGAUCUGAGAAUCUCAUGAUUUCCAAGCAAUAUCCCUUGUGGAUCAAGAAUGGCCUCUGGAGUUCCGGUUCCCUUGGCAGUUACAGUUUUCACUAUAAAUCCUUUAAUUGGAUAUUGGACAAAAUCCCCCACAUAGAGAUCUUUAUUUUAUGUUUGAAUCUGAUAUCACAUUGAUGUCUCACCCAUGAAUUGCCAAGAGAAAAAUUCGCUUUCUUAAUCGCAUUUUCUACCUCAUCUAUUAUUUGCAUUUUGGGUUAAUGCACUUUACUGACGUCGGAGUCUGGUUAAUAAUUUUAUUGUAGUAUUACUUCUCUUCAUGUUUGAGCUCCUUUGCCCGCAUCACCCCUUAACAAUUUAUACUUCUCUCAUGCCACUUUUUGUAUGCAUUUUUGUACUUGCACUUUAUAAUAAAGUAAUUUAUGUGAAGUUUUCCUGUCAUAUGCCUGCACUGUAAAUUGCUUGUGUCUUCUUUAUUCUUAAAAAUGGUGAUUGAAAAAAUAGUAGACAUUUAAUAAAUAUUUGUUGGGUUUAAUAA